GAGCCAGCCGCCGAAGGUGGGACAGAUGAUUGGGGUGAAGUCGUAACAAGGUAGCCGUAUCGGAAGGUGCGGCUGGAUCACCUCCUUUCUA
RNAcentral lists this ribosomal RNA (91 nucleotides) under Bacillus subtilis. Its description in RNAcentral is "partial 16S ribosomal RNA". It matches the Rfam family "Bacterial small subunit ribosomal RNA", at positions 1446 to 1533 of the family's 1533-position model. Lineage: Bacteria; Bacillati; Bacillota; Bacilli; Caryophanales; Bacillaceae. The record is from RNAcentral.